AUCCUGGGAAGAAUUUCAGUGUGUAACUUCACAACUUCCCAGAUACACAGGCUUUUUUCUGGCUGUGCUGAGAUUUCUGAGCUCUUUUUGGUGGCUCCUUUGCUCCUAAAGGCAUAUCAGUUGGCAUCCAGCCUCAGGGCGGGGCUCUGAGAAGGCCACCUUAUUGUUCCCAACAUUCCUCUUUUCCCUGUGCCAUGCUAAUGGUUUUCUGGCUGGUUCUUUGGGAAAUAAUUAAGUAAACGCAAAGGAGAGCUCAGCAGCUAUAAGGGCAUGGCGAAAUAGGGGAAGAAGAAAAAUCCAUUCCUACAAUGGAAAUUUAGUGCACCACAAGGACAGACACCCUAGAACUCAGGAGAGAGCACUGCUGACCUCCCAGAAACCAAUUAUGCAUCAGAGCAGUGCAGAGUGCUACAUGGAAACUUAACCUUCAAGGCGCUAUAACA
RNAcentral lists this long non-coding RNA (443 nucleotides) under Mustela putorius furo (domestic ferret). RNAcentral's name for it is "lncRNA (ENSMPUG00000031200.1)". Lineage: Eukaryota; Metazoa; Chordata; Mammalia; Carnivora; Mustelidae. The record is from RNAcentral.